UAUGAUCUAGUCUCUGUAUUCACACAUGAUCACUUCUUCUUUAUUCUAUUGGUCAUACAAACCAAUCCAGACACACAGGGACUAACAAGGAUAUGAACACCAGCAGAUGAAGAUCAUCAGUACCAUCUUGGAGGCUGGCUACCACAACAGUUAAAGAACUCCCUUUAGCAUUUCUCGUAGGACAGGUCUGGUGUUAAUGAAAUCCCUCAGCUUUUGUUUGUCUGGAAAAGUGUGUCUCCUUCAUGUUUAAAGGAUAUUUUAGCUGGAUAUACUACUCUAAGCAACCCAGUGAUUCCAUGGAAAGCAGAAAGAAGGACAUAAAGAAACGGAUACUUGGUGACAUCUUUGACUCACUGGAUCAAACCUUGCCUGAAGCUCACAUUUCUGAAAUUUCCAGAUACAAGAACAAAUACUUCCUCUUUAUUGUUUUACUAGAUUUGAGACAAGCUUUAAGUUUCUCAGACUCUUCCUCUUCCUAACAGAUUUAUCAGAAGCUGAAAGCUCUGAUCUUGUUGGGAUGCGGAUCGUGUCAGGAGAAGGCUUACUUUGCACGCUUUUCUUAGUCUGGUUGCCUAACUCAAGAACCUCGGCAUGGCUCUGUUACUUCUCUACUCAGACAAGCAUCCCUGCAGACACUCACUAGGCUAACUCUGUCUUUAUUUUUAGAAUUAGACCUUUACGAGAAGCACAGUUUUGUCUUCAGUUUCCUCUCCCCCCACCCGGAAUGGCCUGAGCCGAAGCCAGCUCCCUCCGAGAAGUCAUUACCGCCUGACUUGCGUUUGAUAUUUAGACACCUUGGUCACAACAUCUUGCAUUCUCUCGGGAUGCUGAUUUCUAACUGCUCUUUGGCCUUUCCUGCAUUGGUCCUCCUCAGGCAGGGGAUCCCUGCUCUUCUAUAUUAAUGCUGGCUCCCCGUCCCCUGUCCACC
This 928-nucleotide long non-coding RNA is filed under the name Homo sapiens (human). RNAcentral's name for it is "HSALNT0381874". The record is from RNAcentral. Lineage: Eukaryota; Metazoa; Chordata; Mammalia; Primates; Hominidae.